UGCCUUUUAAAUGGAGGCUAGUAUGAAUGGCAAGACGGAGGUUUAGCUGUCUCUCUUUUAGAAACUUGAAUUUAUUAUCCCCGUGAAGAAACGGGGAUAAAGUCGUAGGACGAGAAGACCCUAUCGAGCUUUAGCUAUAAGUUAAAGUUAAGAGUUUUUUAUUGUUGGGCUAAUAAAGUUAAAAAUUGAUUUUACUUGAUAAUAAAAAAAAUUGUUAGCGAAAUGUUUUGGUUGGGGCAACCACGGAGAAAAAUCACCCUCCGUUUGUAAAACAGAAAAAGUUACUGUUUUGUGAAAUUUAAAUUAUUAAGAAGUGAUCCACUGUAAAAGUGAUCAAAGGAACAAGUUACCGUAGGGAUAACAGCGUAAUUUUUUUGGAGAGUUCAUAUUGAUAAAAAAGUUUGCGACCUCGAUGUUGGAUCGGGACUUCCAGGAGAUGCAGAAGUUUCCAAGGGUUGGUCUGUUCGACCAUUAAAGUCCUACGUGAUCUGAGUUCAGACCGGAA
Molecule: ribosomal RNA, 505 nt
Filed under: Astropecten polyacanthus
Lineage: Eukaryota; Metazoa; Echinodermata; Asteroidea; Paxillosida; Astropectinidae
Description: partial 16S ribosomal RNA
Rfam family: Bacterial large subunit ribosomal RNA
Source: RNAcentral